Molecule: signal recognition particle RNA, 228 nt
Filed under: Armatimonadota bacterium
Lineage: Bacteria; Bacillati; Armatimonadota
Description: Armatimonadetes bacterium (anaerobic digester metagenome) signal recognition particle sRNA large type
Rfam family: Bacterial large signal recognition particle RNA
About the family: The signal recognition particle (SRP) is a universally conserved ribonucleoprotein involved in the co-translational targeting of proteins to membranes. Archaeal SRP consists of a 7S RNA and homologues of the eukaryotic SRP19 and SRP54 proteins.
Source: RNAcentral
UCGGGCUGUUUCUUUGGUUUGCGAUCAGCGUCUGGCUCCGCUGAAAGGGCUGUGGUAUAAUUUAGAAACAGGAAAAAAGCCGUGUCUGAUCUGCAACCGAUCGUUGGUCCUGUGCGAUGCGGCCCGUGAACCCCGUCAGGUCCGGAAGGAAGCAGCGGUAAGCGGCCAACCGCAUGCGCCGCAGGGAAACCUGCGUCGGUUGCAGGUCCGGCAUGGCUUCUUGCACGU